GGGCGAACAGUCGAAACUGCUCCGGGAUGCGGUACUGCUCCCGGAGCCGGUCGACGUUUGGCCCCGAAAGUGAAGAAACCUCCACCUCCGGGGUCGACCGAGUGUCUUCGGUCGGCUCUCCCGACCGACUACCUCGUGGGGACGUCCUAGCCAUGGAUUCAGAGCAGAUGGCAAGGAAGAAGAAGAAGAAGGUGGGGAAGAUGACAAUGGCCC
Molecule: long non-coding RNA, 213 nt
Filed under: Elaeis guineensis (African oil palm)
Lineage: Eukaryota; Viridiplantae; Streptophyta; Magnoliopsida; Arecales; Arecaceae
Description: long non-coding RNA (EGUI_LNC073340)
Source: RNAcentral